This is a long non-coding RNA of Gallus gallus (chicken), 1936 nucleotides long. NCBI's taxonomy places the organism in Eukaryota, Metazoa, Chordata, Aves, Galliformes, Phasianidae. The record is from Ensembl.
GGAAUUCAAGUCUAAUAAUGUUCAUUUCUGGACAGCACGCAUUUAGAUGCGUAUGCAUUCAAAAAAGGAAGUACACUCACUUUUUAGGUAGUAGUUGCAAGCUAUUCUUUGUGAUGGAAUGAAGCGGUCUGCUCAUUCAGCAGUGCUUUUAUAGCCUUUCAUCAAAGCAUUUAGUAAGUAGAUGGGAGAACUGAAGAUCAGAAAAAAGGAUUUGAUCAUCGUGUUUGGCUCCUGGUCUGGGAAGACACAGCAGCGUCCAGACUUGGCUCCGAGCUCCAGCUCAGUGACUCAGUAGCCAGGCGAGCAUCCACAGCCUUGCACCGCUCCAGCCCGGGGAGACGGGAGAGGGCUGUGGGAUGGGACGUGCCUCAAAUACCAGACGCGGCUCUCAGCCAGCUCGAUGCACAAAGCAGGAAGUGAGAGAAACUCUCCCAACAUGCUGCUGUGCGGGAUAUCUUCCCUGGUGCUAUUCUGUUCCUUUAUAAAAAUGUCUUUUGGUACGAAACCAAAAUUUCUGGUCUGCUGGAGCCAAGAGAGUAGCUGGCCAAUGCAGCGGGAGCAUCUCUUCCCUUCCCUGUCCUGUCUAUGGGCAGCACUGCACUGCCCCGCGCAGCACCGGAUGUCCCGCAUCCCAGUAUUUAUGCACUCGUUGGGCAUGCACGUGAAAUGUCACCACUUCUGACACAUCUGUUUGAAUAUUGUUUUUUUUUAUACAGGGGCUGUGUUAAUACGCAAUGGAGUAAAUAACUUGUUUAUUAUUUUCCUGACGUUGGUAGGAUUUGUCUUUUUGGAAGGUUCAUGUGGUAGAGAGCCCGUGGGACCACAGCGGAAGAUGCAGACCAGGGCUUGUCUCAGAGGGUAUGGACUACAAGAAGAUCCCCCAGAAGACACAGAAUGGGAAGCAGCACCCACCACCACCCUUGGGAGCUCCGGUCACCCCGAGCUGGGAGGACAAGGCUAUUGGCAACUUCCAUCUUAUGUGAAAAUAAAGGGCCCAGAGCUUUGAGCCCUCAUGCUUUGCUCCAGAAGUCCACGGAUACCAUGUCACAGAGGACAAGGGCAUCUGGGUAAGCUGGAAGCGGCACGACCUCUCCCUCUCUUUGUCGCAAUUCGGGAAGGAAACGUUUCUGCACAAACGUGAAGAAAUACAGCAGACUUGCCUUAUUUCGGACCACAGGAGGGCGACGUUCAGCUGCAGCUGAAACAAACAGGACUUCCCAAAACAGGUGUGCCGUUUACUGAUGUAAAAAUAAAUGAGAUGAAGCAAAUUAGCUAAUUUUAGAGUGGUUACAGACCGUGGCUAUUGUUUGAUGCAUCGGUCUGCAUCCACUCUGACUUAGCAUUUUGUUGAUUUGCGGUUAAUCGGUAAUUGCCCUAAAUCACUUUGUCAUCCUUGAGCAAAGGUAAUAAAUUAUGGAGGAUAAGGCAUAGUUGUAUGCUAGAUUGUGGCUCUGUUACUUGUUUAGUUACUUUGUCAUUUUGUCAUCCUUAACCGUGUUGCACAGUUAAGUGUUAUAUUGAUGGGGAAGAGGACUGGGGAAGGAUUAUGAUUUUGAAUAGAGAAAUUACCUAUGAGUGCGUGUGUGUUAAGAAAAGUGUUACAAGGAUUGCAGGCAGAGAACACAAACGGUAUGGUAUGAAAACUGCACAAUACUAAUUUUUGGAGAGCAACGUACCAACAGGAGUGUAUUAAUGCAGGUGACUUCCAGUAGUCUUGGUAAUGUAGCAAAUGUAGUCGCAUGAAGGUUUUUGUUCAGCAAGAGCUUGUAGUCUCUGUACAUACUGAUCACAGCCUGGAACCAGGUUAUCAGGAAGGCUGAAUGCUCCAUGAAGGCUCCAUGGAGGAGGAGUUGAGAAUCAAAGUAGGAGAUAAGCCAGGUUUGAAGUGGCUGAGAAGCAAGAUGAGAAGAAUUUGGCACCAAAAGCUGUCUGAUAC